UUUAGUGACUGAGCGGCGGACGGGUGAGUAACGCGUGGGUAACCUGCCUCAUACAGGGGGAUAACAGUUAGAAAUGACUGCUAAUACCGCAUAAGACCACAGGGCCGCGUGGCCCGGUGGUAAAAACUCCGGUGGUAUGAGAUGGACCCGCGUCUGAUUAGCUGGUUGGCGGGGUAACGGCCCACCAAGGCAACGAUCAGUAGCCGGCCUGAGAGGGUGAACGGCCACAUUGGGACUGAGACACGGCCCAAACUCCUACGGAAGGCAGCAG
RNAcentral lists this ribosomal RNA (271 nucleotides) under uncultured bacterium. Its description in RNAcentral is "partial 16S ribosomal RNA". It matches the Rfam family "Bacterial small subunit ribosomal RNA", at positions 83 to 354 of the family's 1533-position model. The record is from RNAcentral.